This 497-nucleotide ribosomal RNA is filed under the name uncultured bacterium. Its description in RNAcentral is "partial 16S ribosomal RNA". It matches the Rfam family "Bacterial small subunit ribosomal RNA", at positions 28 to 507 of the family's 1533-position model. The record is from RNAcentral.
GAUGAACGCUGGCGGCGUGCCUAAUACAUGCAAGUCGAGCGAACAGACGAGGAGCUUGCUCCUCUGACGUUAGCGGCGGACGGGUGAGUAACACGUGGAUAACCUACCUAUAAGACUGGGAUAACUUCGGGAAACCGGAGCUAAUACCGGAUAAUAUAUUGAACCGCAUGGUUCAAUAGUGAAAGACGGUUUUGCUGUCACUUAUAGAUGGAUCCGCGCCGCAUUAGCUAGUUGGUAAGGUAACGGCUUACCAAGGCGACGAUGCGUAGCCGACCUGAGAGGGUGCUCCGCCACACUGGAACUGAGACACGGUCCAGACUCCUACGGGAGGCAGCAGUAGGGAAUCUUCCGCAAUGGGCGAAAGCCUGACGGAGCAACGCCGCGUGAGUGAUGAAGGUCUUCGGAUCGUAAAACUCUGUUAUUAGGGAAGAACAAAUGUGUAAGUAACUAUGCACGUCUUGACGGUACCUAAUCAGAAAGCCACGGCUAACUACGUG